This 241-nucleotide long non-coding RNA is filed under the name Manihot esculenta (cassava). RNAcentral describes it as "long non-coding RNA (MESC_LNC001418)". The record is from RNAcentral. Lineage: Eukaryota; Viridiplantae; Streptophyta; Magnoliopsida; Malpighiales; Euphorbiaceae.
UAGUGAAGAAAAUCUUAUGCUCAACUAAACAGGAGGAUGAGACGCAAAGGAGGAAGAUUUUCCAGGCCAAGUGUCGAGUAGGAGAGGCAAUUUGCAGGCUAAUUAUCGAUAGCUGUAGUUGUGAGAAUUUGAUAGCUAAGCAAUUGGUAGAAAAAUUACAGUUGCCUACACAACAUCACCCCUCACCAUACAAAGUCGGAUGGAUUAAGGAAGGACCGACAAUUGAGGUCAACAGAAUCUG